UGGGGAAUAUUGGACAAUGGGGGCAACCCUGAUCCAGCCAUGCCGCGUGUGUGAAGAAGGCCUUCGGGUUGUAAAGCACUUUUGUCCGGAAAGAAAAGCAUUCGGUUAAUACCCGGGUGUUCUGACGGUACCGGAAGAAUAAGCACCGGCUAACUUCGUGCCAGCAGCCGCGGUAAUACGAAGGGUGCAAGCGUUACUCGGAAUUACUGGGCGUAAAGCGUGCGUAGGUGGUUCGUUAAGUCUGUCGUGAAAGCCCCGGGCUCAACCUGGGAAUGGCGAUGGAUACUGGCGGGCUAGAGUGCGGUAGAGGAGAGUGGAAUUCCCGGUGUAGCAGUGAAAUGCGUAGAGAUCGGGAGGAACAUCAGUUGCGAAGGCGGCUCUCUGGACCAGCACUGACACUGAGGCACGAAAGCGUGGGGAGCAAACAGGAUUAGAUACCCCGGUAGUCC
RNAcentral lists this ribosomal RNA (449 nucleotides) under uncultured bacterium. RNAcentral's name for it is "bacterial SSU rRNA". It matches the Rfam family "Bacterial small subunit ribosomal RNA", at positions 355 to 796 of the family's 1533-position model. The record is from RNAcentral.